This 496-nucleotide ribosomal RNA is filed under the name uncultured bacterium. Its description in RNAcentral is "partial 16S ribosomal RNA". It matches the Rfam family "Bacterial small subunit ribosomal RNA", at positions 29 to 507 of the family's 1533-position model. The record is from RNAcentral.
AUGAACGCUGGCGGCGUGCCUAAUACAUGCAAGUCGAGCGAACAGGCGAGGAGCUUGCUCCUCUGACGUCAGCGGCGGACGGGUGAGUAACACGUGGAUAACCUACCUAUAAGACUGGGAUAACUUCGGGAAACCGGAGCUAAUACCGGAUAAUAUAUUGAACCGCAUGGUUCAAUAGUGAAAGACGGUUUUGCUGUCACUUAUAGAUGGAUCCGCGCCGCAUUAGCUAGUUGGUAAGGUAACGGCUUACCAAGGCAACGAUGCGUAGCCGACCUGAGAGGGUGAUCGGCCACACUGGAACUGAGACACGGUCCAGACUCCUACGGGAGGCAGCAGUAGGGAAUCUUCCGCAAUGGGCGAAAGCCUGACGGAGCAACGCCGCGUGAGUGAUGAAGGUCUUCGGAUCGUAAAACUCUGUUAUUAGGGAAGAACAAAUGUGUAAGUAACUAUGCACGUCUUGACGGUACCUAAUCAGAAAGCCACGGCUAACUACGUG